UUGUCUCAAAGAUUAAGCCAUGCAUGUCUCAGUACAAGCCAAAUUAAGGUGAAACCGCGAAAGGCUCAUUAAAUCAGUUAUGGUUCCUUAGAUCGUACCAACGUUACUUGGAUAACUGUGGUAAUUCUAGAGCUAAUACAUGCAAACAGAGCUCCGACCGGAGACGGAAGGAGCGCUUUUAUUAGAUCAAAACCAAUCGGUGGCGGUUUCCGUCAUCGUACAACUUGGUGACUCUGAAUAACUUUACGCUGAUCGCACGGUCUUGCACCGGCGACGCAUCUUUCAAAUGUCUGCCUUAUCAACUGUCGAUGGUAGGUUCUGCGCCUACCAUGGUUGUAACGGGUAACGGGGAAUCAGGGUUCGAUUCCGGAGAGGGAGCCUGAGAAACGGCUACCACAUCCAAGGAAGGCAGCAGGCGCGCAAAUUACCCACUCCCGGCACGGGGAGGUAGUGACGAAAAAUAACGAUACGGGACUCAUCCGAGGCCCCGUAAUCGGAAUGAGUACACUCUAAACCCUUUAACGAGGAUCAAUUGGAGGGCAAGUCUGGUGCCAGCAGCCGCGGUAAUUCCAGCUCCAAUAGCGUAUAUUAAAGUUGUUGCGNUUAAAAAGCUCGUAGUCGAAUCUGUGUCCCGCGCCGCCGGUUCAUCGUUCGCGGUGUUAACUGGCGUGUCGCGGGACGUCCUGCCGGUGGGCUUAGCUCGCGAGGGCGGCCCAACUCAAUCCCGCCGCGGUGCUCUUCAUUGAGUGUCGAGGUGGGCCGGCACGUUUACUUUGAACAAAUUAGAGUGCUUAAAGCAGGCUAAAACUUUGCCUGAAUACUGUGUGCAUGGAAUAAUGGAAUAGGACCUCGGUUCUAUUUUGUUGGUUUUCGGAACCCCGAGGUAAUGAUUAAUAGGAACGGAUGGGGGCAUUCGUAUUGCGACGUUAGAGGUGAAAUUCUUGGAUCGUCGCAAGACGGACAGAAGCGAAAGCAUUUGCCAAAAACGUUUUCAUUGAUCAAGAACGAAAGUUAGAGGUUCGAAGGCGAUCAGAUACCGCCCUAGUUCUAACCAUAAACGAUGCCAGCUAGCGAUCCGCCGACGUUCCUCCGAUGACUCGGCGGGCAGCUUCCGGGAAACCAAAGCUUUUGGGUUCCGGGGGAAGUAUGGUUGCAAAGCUGAAACUUAAAGGAAUUGACGGAAGGGCACCACCAGGAGUGGAGCCUGCGGCUUAAUU
Molecule: ribosomal RNA, 1217 nt
Filed under: Adelium sp. 1 GJK-2014
Lineage: Eukaryota; Metazoa; Arthropoda; Insecta; Coleoptera; Tenebrionidae
Description: SSU rRNA
Rfam family: Eukaryotic small subunit ribosomal RNA
Source: RNAcentral